RNAcentral lists this ribosomal RNA (207 nucleotides) under uncultured bacterium. Its description in RNAcentral is "partial 16S ribosomal RNA". It matches the Rfam family "Bacterial small subunit ribosomal RNA", at positions 568 to 774 of the family's 1533-position model. The record is from RNAcentral.
UACGUAGGCGGCUCUGCAAGUUGGGUGUGAAAGCCCGGGGCUCAACCCCGGAACUGCAUUCAAAACUGUGGGGCUAGAGAUCGGAAGAGGUAAGUGGAAUUCCCAGUGUAGAGGUGAAAUUCGUAGAUAUUGGGAAGAACACCGGUGGCGAAGGCGACUUACUGGUCCGAUACUGACGCUGAGGUACGAAAGCAUGGGGAGCAAACA